RNAcentral lists this ribosomal RNA (381 nucleotides) under Escherichia coli. RNAcentral's name for it is "bacterial SSU rRNA". It matches the Rfam family "Bacterial small subunit ribosomal RNA", at positions 952 to 1334 of the family's 1533-position model. Lineage: Bacteria; Pseudomonadati; Pseudomonadota; Gammaproteobacteria; Enterobacterales; Enterobacteriaceae. The record is from RNAcentral.
CGAAGCAACGCGAAGAACCUUACCAGGUCUUGACAUCCCAGUGACCGUCCUAGAGAUAGGAUUUUUCUUCGGAACACUGGUGACAGGUGGUGCAUGGUUGUCGUCAGCUCGUGUCGUGAGAUGUUGGGUUAAGUCCCGCAACGAGCGCAACCCCUAUUGUUAGUUGCCAUCAUUAAGUUGGGCACUCUAGCGAGACUGCCGGUAAUAAACCGGAGGAAGGUGGGGAUGACGUCAAAUCAUCAUGCCCCUUAUGACCUGGGCUACACACGUGCUACAAUGGCUGGUACAACGAGUCGCAAGUCGGUGACGGCAAGCUAAUCUCUUAAAGCCAGUCUCAGUUCGGAUUGUAGGCUGCAACUCGCCUACAUGAAGUCGGAAUCG